Molecule: long non-coding RNA, 1242 nt
Organism: Phyllostomus discolor (pale spear-nosed bat)
Lineage: Eukaryota; Metazoa; Chordata; Mammalia; Chiroptera; Phyllostomidae
Exons: 4
Source: RefSeq, a predicted model, not a curated record
CUUACACACACACACUUGGUGACUUGACCCGCAACCCAGGUGUAAAUUUCUAGGAUGUCGCAUGAACUGCUUAAAUGGAAAAACCUGCAGAGCAAAGAAAAUUCUACUCUCCUGGCCAUCCGAAACGCCUGUUCUUCUGUGCACCAGGGUCUCUUACAUCUUAUCAGGACACUCUGCCUGUCAAGAAUACAUAUCUCCUUAGAGUACUUACUGUAGAGCCUAAGUAGACCAUGGCUCCAUCAGGUUUUCAUAAGAAAAUUGGCAAUUUCUAAUAUUACCCAGGUUGGGAAAAGCGCAGCCAGCUCCUGGAGUUGUAGGCUGCCGUGGGUGGAGGGGCAGUGUUGAUUCCAAGGGGACAUUGAACAAUGCACAUCCUUUCAGUUCCAAAGCCUGCACUUUGAUAUUUUGUGCUAAACUCAAAGAAUAUACAAGUAUCCUGGCCAUGAGCUACUAGCUGUUUCUCUGUUAGACAUUUAGCAAUUUAUUAUUAAUAAUAAUGAUUACAGUAAUGCUAGUACCAUGUGCAAUUUGUUCAACAUAUACUAUGUGCCAGAUACCUGUCUCUCUGUUUCUGUAUGAGAGUGUGUAUUGUCUGAUGUCUGUUGUGACAACCACCACAUGAGGAAUUUUUAUCCUCAUCUUACAUUUGAGAAUGUUGAAGCCUGGAGAAUAAGAGUAACUUGCUUAAAGGGGACCUACGUAAACACACAACUUCCUCUGAAUCCAAAGCCCAUCAUGCUACUGUCCCUUUUCCCUUCAUUCCCAUCACUCUUCAUUAGUAGAUGCUGCUGCCUGCAUUAGUCUCGCCUAAGUGUUGGCCUGGGGAUGUGAUACUCUGAGAGGUAGGAUGACUCCAGUUCUCCUGACAUGGGUCUAAAAUUUCACAUAAGAGCAGUGCAUAAAUCAUAUCAUUAGAAAUCUCUUUGAAAGGGAAAAUACUAGGUAUUUCCAGAACAUAACUGCAAAGGAACAUAGCUAUUUUUAGAGUAAACCUAUGAGUGAAGAAAAGUAUAUGCACAAAAAGGCGACUGGUGCACAAUCGUGAGACUGAUUAAUGUCCUCAACUUGAAUACAUCUGUUUGCAGACCCAGAGGAAGGAAUGAACUAUGACCUGCACACAGAAGCCCUUUGGGCCUCUUCCAUGCAGUUUCCAGAUCCCCAAGAAGUGGACUUCUUUGGGAUGUGCCCAGAAGCCCUUGCAUUCUGGUUCCUGGUGGGCUUCGGGUAGCAGGAGGCAUGAGA